CUCCUUAAGAGAGGCACGGCGGAGAAGUUCCCAUUGAUUAAAGCUGCGAGGGGUGGGGGGAAGGGCAGGCUGGAGCGGCUCUUCCCAAGCAAAGCUGCCUUUCUUCCCCUCCCCCCUCUUCCUCUCCCUCCCUCCCUCCUUUCUUCCGCCCCGGGCGCUCCUCUCUCCCCAGCUCCGCCGCCGCUGCUUCUCUCCUUUCGUUCUCCCUGGGGGUGAGACCUGAAGCAGAGCCGGGCAGCGAAGCCUCUCGGGCAGCCUCGGCUGCAGCAGAGCGUUAUUUAUCGCGGCCGGCUUGCAUGCACCGCUGCCGUCUCCAUGCAAAGCCUUCUCUGCAAAAGCAGGCACAGCCGGAGCUGUGUGUGUGUGCAAACGCGAGGAGGGGUGGCUGCAGCAGUAGGAGGAGAGCCGGAGGGGAGGGAAGGGAGAGAUGGGGGCAGGAUCGGAUUCUGCAAAGAAGAAAGAAGCGGCUGCUGCAAGGCACAGCCCGGCGACGGAGCAGGCAGCUCUGGCAGGAAGGCGCCGCUUGCAAUAACUUUUUAUUUUUUGCUGGAAGCAGCAGCAGAUCGCCGGUCGAGCAAGAAGCGGGGGCGAUCGCCUUCGAUCCCGGAGGGGACUGCUCUCUCCCGGAUGCACCAGGAUCGUGUCCUCUCCAGCUGGGAAGAUGCAAAUCCGCUGGCCUGGGGGGCGAAACAAAAGCGUCUGGUCUGCAGUCGUGGAGGGGGGGGGUGCGCGAGUUGUGCUUUGCAAAGCUUGGGAGAAAAAGGAGCCGAGUGGAUGAAUCAAGACAGCAGGCAGGCGAAGCGGCUGAUCUCUGCGGCGCUCCGGUCUCCAGCGACGAACUGCAUGCAGAGCCAUGGCGAGCCGGAGACCCGGAUGUACGUGCGAAAGCCCAGGGACUGCGAAGACACGUGGUGACGGGGAAACGGGAGAGGGAUCGCCUGUAAUGAGAUGCUGCUUCCUCCUCCCAGCUGAGCUUGUAAAAUAUUUUGGCCGGAGGCGAGAUCCCAACGAGGAAGCAAGUCUCCCCCGCUUCAGGGUUGCAGAGAAAAUCCGCGUUGAAUUUUAAUGUUUUAUUGGGGGAAGGGGUGUAUGUGUUUAGAGAAAAGGGCGGGGGGGGGGGAGAAAACACUGUGGGGAGGUUGCUCCCUACCCCCAAUCUCUCUCUCUGUGUUAAUAACUCAUUGGGGGAAAAGGGACUGGCUCUCUGGAUUUGCAGGUAUGUGGUUUUAUUUAUUUCCCGCCUCCCAUAUUAUUUCCCCACCUCCCGUGAUUGUGAACAAUUCGCCCCAUUCCCUUCACCCCAAUAUCUUAUUUAAAACAGAAUAACAUCCAAUAAAGAGACCAAAAAAAAAUAUGCUCGAUCUGAUUGUUUCGAAUACUUGGGAAAUGGAACGCGCAAAAUAUCGUACUGGAGCGAAAAUAAAACAUUUUUUUAAAAAAAGCAAUUAAUUAAUUAAAUCCAUGUUAGGAUUGUAUUCAAAUGCAAAACGGGCCCAAAAUGGAAAUGCAGGAUUAUAACAGUCACAUAUCGCCUAAAAUGUAAUAAAUUCUUAGUGUAUUAAAAUUAGGGUGGUUUUACAUAUACGGUAUUGUAAAUUUAUUUUUAAAACUGGGCCUUGGGAAAACUAAGCGUUUGAUUUCUGAACGUUAGAAACACUGAUGAUAAUUCACUUUCGUAAAGGGGUGGGGGGAUUUCCUAAUGCUAACUGGCACGUGACAUAAUUUCCCACAGUAAUACCAGUAACAUUAUUUCCAAUAAUACUGUAUUAAUAACUUAUAAAUAAACGGUAAUAUUUGGA
Molecule: long non-coding RNA, 1799 nt
Filed under: Podarcis lilfordi (Lilford's wall lizard)
Lineage: Eukaryota; Metazoa; Chordata; Lepidosauria; Squamata; Lacertidae
Source: RNAcentral